This is a long non-coding RNA of Salvia splendens (bonfire salvia), 461 nucleotides long. RefSeq lists it as uncharacterized. The transcript has 2 exons. Lineage: Eukaryota; Viridiplantae; Streptophyta; Magnoliopsida; Lamiales; Lamiaceae. The record is from RefSeq and is a predicted model, not a curated record.
UAAUAACUUUUUUUCUUUUCUGAUUUGUUCGUGUGUAAUCUUGGGCAAGAGCUUAGUUGUGUGAAGAUAAUUUUUGGAAGUUCGGAGCUUCUAAGAAGAAAUGUGCAAGAUAUCGAGAGAGAUAAUAGGAGGAGGCAAAAACCGGAGGCUAUGAAAGAAGACACUGUGGAUGAAGUUAGUGAGAAUGAGAUCAAGGUAGUGCAUUUUGAGGAGUCAAUGAAAUAUAGUCAUAGAAGUUCUAGUGGUGCUUCUUUGCACAAAAUACUUCAGCAGUCUUGUGGUUUUGGCUCUGAAUUCCAGUUUGAAGGUACUACCUUUCUUUACUCCCAUGCUUUGUUUCCUAGCCUUAGUUGUUUUUGUGUAUGACAUAGUAUCACAUAUACUACCAAAUCUCAUGUAAUAUAUAUUAAUUCCUUUUCAUUAUCUCCUCAAGCAAGUUACAUACUUUUUCUUUUAUUAAA